AAGUCGUAACAAGGUUUCCGUAGGUGAACCUGCGGAAGGAUCAUUCACAAUAAGUGUUUAUGGCACUUUCAAAUCCAUACCCACCUUGUGUGCAAUGUAAGAGCCCUUUCCAAACCCCCCCUUCUCUGGGGGGGGGGAAGACUGGGCUUCAUUUUCUUCUCACACGUCUUCAAUUGCAAGUCUAACAUUCAGAGUAAUCAAAACUCGAAUACAACUUUCAACAACGGAUCUCUUGGCUCUC
This 241-nucleotide unclassified non-coding RNA is filed under the name Mortierella sp. RNAcentral's name for it is "partial internal transcribed spacer region". The stretch from base 1 to 46 matches the Rfam family "Eukaryotic small subunit ribosomal RNA", at positions 1786 to 1831 of the family's 1831-position model. The record is from RNAcentral. Lineage: Eukaryota; Fungi; Mortierellomycota; Mortierellomycetes; Mortierellales; Mortierellaceae.